Molecule: ribosomal RNA, 497 nt
Filed under: uncultured bacterium
Lineage: Bacteria
Description: partial 16S ribosomal RNA
Rfam family: Bacterial small subunit ribosomal RNA
Source: RNAcentral
GAUGAACGCUGGCGGCGUGCCUAAUACAUGCAAGUCGAGCGAACGGACGAGAAGCUUGCUUCUCUGAUGUUAGCGGCGGACGGGUGAGUAACACGUGGAUAACCUACCUAUAAGACUGGGAUAACUUCGGGAAACCGGAGCUAAUACCGGAUAAUAUUUUGAACCGCAUGGUUCAAAAGUGAAAGACGGUCCUGCUGUCACUUAUAGAUGGAUCCGCGCUGCAUUAGCUAGUUGGUAAGGUAACGGCUUACCAAGGCAACGAUGCAUAGCCGACCUGAGAGGGUGAUCGGCCACACUGGAACUGAGACACGGUCCAGACGCCUACGGGAGGCAGCAGUAGGGAAUCUUCCGCAAUGGGCGAAAGCCUGACGGAGCAACGCCGCGUGAGUGAUGAAGAUCUACGGAUCGUAAAACUCUGUUAUUAGGGAAGAACAUAUGUGUAAGUAACUGUGCACAUCUUGACGGUACCUAAUCAGAAAGCCACGGCUAACUACGUG